CAAUACUUGAGCUAGAGUGUCGUACGGGUGCGUAACACGUAUGCAACCUACCUUUACAGGAGUAUAGCUCCCCGAAAGGGGAAUUAACCCUCCAUAAUAUCAUUGGAUGGCAUCAUUUGAUGAUUAAAACUGAGGUGGUAAAAGAUGGGCAUGCGUCUGAUUAGUUAGUUGGCAGUGUAACGGACUACCAAGACGAUGAUCAGUAGGGGACCUGAGAGGGUGAUCCCCCACACUGGCACUGAGAUACGGGCCAGACUCCUACGGGAGGCAGCAGUAGGGAAUACUGGACAAUGGGUGAGAGCCUGAUCCAGCCAUGCCGCGUGCAGGAAGAAGGCGUUAUGCGUUGUAAACUGCUUUUGCCAGGGGAUAAAACGGUUCUGCGGAACUAAUUGAAGGUACCUGGUGAAUAAGCCACGGCUAACUACGUGCCAGCAGCCGCGGUAAUACGUAGGUGGCAAGCGUUGUCCGGAUUUAUUGGGUUUAAAGGGUGCGUAGGCGGCCCUGUAAGUCAGUGCUGAAAUAUCCCGGCUUAACCGGGAGGGUGGCAUUGAUACUGCAGGGCUUGAGUACAGAUGAGGUAGGCGGAAUUGACGGUGUAGCGGUGAAAUGCAUAGAUAUCGUCAAGAACACCGAUAGCGAAGGCAGCUUACCAAGCUGUAACUGACGCUGAGGCACGAAAGUGUGGGGAUCAAACAGGAUUAGAUACCCUGGUAGUCCACACUGUAAACGUUGAUGACUCGAUGUUGGCGAUAUACAGCCAGCGUCCAAGAGCAAUCGUUAAGUCAUCCAC
Molecule: ribosomal RNA, 790 nt
Filed under: uncultured bacterium
Lineage: Bacteria
Description: bacterial SSU rRNA
Rfam family: Bacterial small subunit ribosomal RNA
Source: RNAcentral